AUUGAACGCUGGCGGCAGGCCUAACACAUGCAAGUCGAACGGUAACAGAAAGCAGCUUGCUGCUUUGCUGACGAGUGGCGGACGGGUGAGUAAUGUCUGGGAAACUGCCUGAUGGAGGGGGAUAACUACUGGAAACGGUAGCUAAUACCGCAUAACGUCGCAAGACCAAAGAGGGGGACCUUCGGGCCUCUUGCCAUCGGAUGUGCCCAGAUGGGAUUAGCUAGUAGGUGGGGUAACGGCUCACCUAGGCGACGAUCCCUAGCUGGUCUGAGAGGAUGACCAGCCACACUGGAACUGAGACACGGUCCAGACUCCUACGGGAGGCAGCAGUAGGGAAUAUUGCACAAUGGGCGCAAGCCUGAUGCAGCCAUGCCGCGUGUAUGAAGAAGGCCUUCGGGUUGUAAAGUACUUUCAGCGGGGAGGAAGGGAGUAAAGUUAAUACCUUUGCUCAUUGACGUUACCCGCAGAAGAAGCACCGGCUAACUCCGUG
Molecule: ribosomal RNA, 490 nt
Filed under: uncultured bacterium
Lineage: Bacteria
Description: partial 16S ribosomal RNA
Rfam family: Bacterial small subunit ribosomal RNA
Source: RNAcentral